CGCUUAUUUUAUAAAACUUGAGUGAAAUCAAGACAAAAAUUAUUACCACAACAACGCUCUAAGAACCUCAACAUGUUAGAUCAGGAUAAGUACUUAUUAUACCAACCCCUUGAACUUUUAGUUUUAUAGUAACCCCGAGUAGUUUAUACGAGAAGUCAGCACCAUCUUAAUAGCAAACUACAUGGAGAGCCGAUGAAUAUA
This 201-nucleotide long non-coding RNA is filed under the name Lathyrus oleraceus (garden pea). RNAcentral's name for it is "Pisum sativum (pea) long non-coding RNA (PSAT_LNC028722)". The record is from RNAcentral. Lineage: Eukaryota; Viridiplantae; Streptophyta; Magnoliopsida; Fabales; Fabaceae.